UGGAGCUGGCAAUAAUACCUUUUGAGGUGCUCGAGUGUUCCCUCCGCGGAUGUGGAGACUUAAGCUCGGGAGCCCAUCUCAUUAGACGCCGCUCUA
Molecule: non-coding RNA, 96 nt
Filed under: unclassified sequences
Description: DUF3800-V RNA
Rfam family: DUF3800-V RNA
Source: Rfam by way of RNAcentral